RNAcentral lists this non-coding RNA (27 nucleotides) under Cricetulus griseus (Chinese hamster). The record is from RNAcentral. Lineage: Eukaryota; Metazoa; Chordata; Mammalia; Rodentia; Cricetidae.
UACGGUGAUGAGAGUGUCUCUGAGAAA